This 436-nucleotide ribosomal RNA is filed under the name Nacerdes caudata. RNAcentral's name for it is "partial 16S ribosomal RNA". The stretch from base 315 to 436 matches the Rfam family "Bacterial large subunit ribosomal RNA", at positions 2473 to 2595 of the family's 2925-position model. Lineage: Eukaryota; Metazoa; Arthropoda; Insecta; Coleoptera; Oedemeridae. The record is from RNAcentral.
CUGUGCAAAGGUAGCAUAAUCAUUAGUUUUUUAAUUGAAAGCUGGAAUGAAUGGUUUAAUAAGAAAAAUUCUGUCUCAUUUUUAAGUUUAAAAUUUUAUUUUUAAGUUAAAAAGCUUAAAUUUAUUAAAAAGACGAGAAGACCCUUUAGAGUUUUAUAAGAAAAAAUUGAUUAUUAUUAUGAUUUAAAUUUAAAAUUGGUUUUUAUUAUUUUAUUGGGGUGAUAUAAAAAUUUAAGUAACUUUUUAUUUAUUUAAUCAUAAAUUUAUGUGUAAAUGAUCUUGAUUUUUUGGAUUAUAAGAAUAAUUACCUUAGGGAUAACAGCGUAAUUUUUUUUGAGAGUUCUUAUCGAAAAAGAAGUUUGCGACCUCGAUGUUGGAUUAAAAUUUAAUUUUGGCGUAGAAGUUAAAAAUUUAGGUCUGUUCGACCUUUAAAAUU